GUAGCAUAAUCAUUAGAGGUUUAAUUGGAAUCUGGAAUGAAGGGUUGGACAAAGAAAAAACUGUCUUUAGAAUAUAAUUUGAAAUUUACCUUUAGGUGAAAAGGCCUAAAUAUUUCAAAGGGACGAUAAGACCCUAUAAAGCUUUAUAUAUAACUUGAACUUAAUUGAUUUAAAAUCUAAGAGUUAAGUUUAAAUUAUUUUAUUUUGUUGGGGUGAUACGAGUAUAAUUGUUAUUAACUGCUUGAAGGUAUAAUACUAAAAUAUUAGAGUUGUAGGUAUAUGAUCCUUUUUAGAGAUUAAAAGACUAAGUUACUUUAGGGAUAACAGCGUUAUUUCUUUUGAGAGUUCAUAUCGAAAAAGAAGAUUGCGACCUCGAUGUUGAAUUAAAAUAUCUAUAUAAUGCAGUAGUUAUAAAAGAGGGUCUGUUCGACCUUUAAAUUUUU
Molecule: ribosomal RNA, 443 nt
Filed under: Juxtaxanthias tetraodon
Lineage: Eukaryota; Metazoa; Arthropoda; Malacostraca; Decapoda; Xanthidae
Description: partial large subunit ribosomal RNA
Rfam family: Bacterial large subunit ribosomal RNA (bases 320-443)
Source: RNAcentral